Molecule: non-coding RNA, 1576 nt
Organism: Macaca mulatta (Rhesus monkey)
Lineage: Eukaryota; Metazoa; Chordata; Mammalia; Primates; Cercopithecidae
Source: RefSeq, a predicted model, not a curated record
GCUUCAGCAAGGAUCAUGGAAUAGGUAUUGUGGCUAAAAGCAAACCAUUGGGUCACCCUGAUCACCUUACAGGCAUGUGUAUGUCAAUCAGUUCAGGAUAGAAGCAAGAGGACAGGCAUGACCUAAUACAAUCAUAAAUGAUGCAAGAGGACAGUAGAACUGAGAUGCCCCUCAGGAUCCGAGAAGCCCCCUGCAAAACCAUUGCUUUGGAACCUCGAUGAUACCAACAGUGUGCAGGAGAGGGGCAAGUUAUCUGGAAUGAACCUGCCCAGAGAAGAACAAGGAGAUGACAGAAAUAGUCCCAAACCAUGGUUGUGAUAUAAGAUUUUUGAAGCCAGGCAACCAAAACUCAAAAGCAGAAAACCAAAGAGCAAAAGAAACAGAAACAAAAGAGCCAAACCUAAAGGCAAAGACGUUCAAAUCCCAAGGCAAGAUUUCCAAAGAACAGUUUGGUAAGACAGGUUUUAAAUGCAAGGUUAUUUCAACUGCACUCAUGGCUCCCUGAGAAUGCAGCACACGGUGGGCUCAUGUCUGAGCCUGUGGACCCAUAGGCUGCAUCAGCACCGUCUGGGAACCAAGGCAUGAAAACGCUCCCAGGACCGAAAAGUCUGACAACCAGGACUGGGCAACCGGAACAACGGGGGAUGAGUUAUCUUGAUACAAGGACAGAGGCAAGCAGGAAACCAGUCCAUCAGCAGAAACAUUCCACAGGCUGCAGGCAGGCAGCAAAGUAAAACAACGUCCCCAAAGCAAAACCCUCAUCAAUCCAAACCAAGGUUUUUCUCUAAGUGGCAAUGGACCAAGGCCCAUCUAGUCAAUGAUUCAAAUCAUCUGAUGCAAAUUUGAACCUCCAAUUCAAUAAAUUCAAUGUAAAAAAGCAAGAGCAAAUUUUGUGCAGAAAAGACUUAACAUGGCAGGCCUGAAACUGCUAUCCUUAGAAAAAGGCCUGUUAGCAAGGUUGGCCCUUGGUUGCCAUCUGGAACUUAGAUCUUUCAGGAGGGUUCUCAGCAUUCCCUGAUAAGUAUGCCUUGCUGUGCCUAGACUGUGUGUGCAAACAAUGCAGUUUAUGAUGCAUACCUGCUUUCCUUCUGAGUAUGGAAUUUUCAAACUUGCCAGGUAGGGGUGUUACAUGACCAAUCCCAACAAAAAACCUGGACACUCUAAUGAGCUCUCCUGUGUUAACAGAAAAAAACAAACUCUGUAAAAUAUUUUAAAGAGAUUUAUUCUGAGCCAGUGAGUGACGAUGGUCCAGAGAACAGUCUCAAGACGUCCUGAGAGAGAGUGCCGGAGGCCACAAUGCUGAGAGAAAAUCCUGAAUCUCCUAGAGAAGAAAUUCCUUGAAAGACUCCACAACCAACUGAAACCAGAGCCCACUGAGGUUUGCCAGCCCUAGUACCAGCUCCCAUAGAGAGUGCAUUCCAAAUGCCAGACACCAGGCCUAUCCUAUCUCAUUUAAUUUUAUUUAACCAGUUCUCCAAGGUCAAAUGUCAAUUUUAAUGAAGCGUCACUUCACAGUUAUGUAGUUUGUUCUUUUGAAACAGACAAUUAUGAUAUUAAAAUCUGGAUUAAAUGAGCA